Molecule: non-coding RNA, 24 nt
Filed under: Cricetulus griseus (Chinese hamster)
Lineage: Eukaryota; Metazoa; Chordata; Mammalia; Rodentia; Cricetidae
Source: RNAcentral
AUUAUGUAUUUUGUCUAGGGCUGC